This 351-nucleotide ribosomal RNA is filed under the name Triticum aestivum (bread wheat). RNAcentral describes it as "partial small subunit ribosomal RNA". Lineage: Eukaryota; Viridiplantae; Streptophyta; Magnoliopsida; Poales; Poaceae. The record is from RNAcentral.
AUGUUAACAGACCAGCAACGUGCUAGGAGGCCCAUGGGAGCAUUACCUGGUGUUGAAUGGCGGGCAAAUGACACAUCAUAUAUGUUUUUGUCCAACCAAGGUAACCCUCCAAACAGUGCCCUAAGAGUCAUUUAUUCCUUAAUGUUUUGGCCUAGAAACAAGUUUAGUUGCAACUCUUUUGCUAUCAAGUUUUCCAAAUUUCGUUCACUAGGGUUCCUUUCUUAUUAUCAUCUUCCAGAUAUAUAUUUUUGUAAUUACAUGAAUUCAGAUCUACUUCUAUCGUGUCUCCUUUUCACAUGUUUGCAUCCAGCUGAAUAUCCAUCUACAUGCAGGAUUUUGUCACAUGUGUAG